This is a non-coding RNA of Chiloscyllium plagiosum (whitespotted bambooshark), 154 nucleotides long. Lineage: Eukaryota; Metazoa; Chordata; Chondrichthyes; Orectolobiformes; Hemiscylliidae. The record is from RefSeq and is a predicted model, not a curated record.
GAUCUUAUGUGUCUACAAACACCUCACCCAAGCUAGCGUUCCUUGGGUGUCAGCCUAGAACAAGAACAUUGGCAGGCAAGAAGAGACAACCAAGAUGGCAAGCUCCUGCAUAAUAACCUCCAAUGUAAAAAAAUGAAAGAAAUCACAAAUAUCU